RNAcentral lists this ribosomal RNA (253 nucleotides) under uncultured bacterium. RNAcentral's name for it is "partial 16S ribosomal RNA". It matches the Rfam family "Bacterial small subunit ribosomal RNA", at positions 524 to 776 of the family's 1533-position model. The record is from RNAcentral.
GACAGAGGGGGCAAGCGUUGCUCGGAAUUACUGGGCGUAAAGGGCGCGUAGGCGGGAUGGCAAGUCGGUCGUGAAAUCCUUCGGCUCAACCGAAGAACGUCGAUCGAUACUGCUGUUCUUGAGGGUUGCAGAGGAGACUGGAAUUCCCGGUGUAGCGGUGAAAUGUGUAGAGAUCGGGAGGAACACCGGUGGCGAAGGCGGGUCUCUGGACAGUUCCUGACGCUGAGGCACGAAGGCCAGGGGAGCAAACGGG